CCGCAAGGGUGCAAGAUCAUCGUGGGGCCCAUUGCAUGGGCUCCGAGUAUGCUUGAUUGCCAUGUCGGAGGCGAAGGUGCUAGAGCUUGGUGGCGUGUUUGCAUUUCUGGAUGCAUGAAUAAUUGUCAAGGAGGCUGAAGCCAGCGCUAUUACAGUUGGACUGAAGGAAUUGUAUAACGUAUUCUGAGGCUCCUUGGUGGUGGAGAUCGACUACGCAGUGGGGAAAUGAGCUAGGGGCUGAUUCUAACUGUCAAGAGGGACAAACAAUGGGCUGGCUCAUGAACUAGCCAAUGAUGCUAAAGCUCAUGGAGACCUUGUGGUUGCGUAUGGUGUCCCGGACCAACUCCAUGAUCAGCUCUGGAAGGAAAACAAUGCAGCCUUGACGUCGGCCUAAGUCUUGA
Long non-coding RNA from Triticum aestivum (bread wheat), 401 nucleotides. RefSeq lists it as uncharacterized. Lineage: Eukaryota; Viridiplantae; Streptophyta; Magnoliopsida; Poales; Poaceae. The record is from RefSeq and is a predicted model, not a curated record. The transcript is spliced from 2 exons.